RNAcentral lists this ribosomal RNA (245 nucleotides) under uncultured bacterium. Its description in RNAcentral is "partial small subunit ribosomal RNA". It matches the Rfam family "Bacterial small subunit ribosomal RNA", at positions 26 to 285 of the family's 1533-position model. The record is from RNAcentral.
AGAAUCAACGCUGGCGGCGUGCCUAACACAUGCAAGUCGAACGAGAAAGUGGAGCAAUCCAUGAGUAAAGUGGCGCACGGGUGAGUAACACGUGACUAACCUACCCUUGAGUGGGGGAUAACCUAGGGAAACCUGGGCUAAUACCGCAUAAUACCUACGGGUCAAAGGAGCAAUUCGCUUCAGGAGGGGGUCGCGGCCGAUUAGUUAGUUGGCGGGGUAAUGGCCCACCAAGACAGUGAUCGGUA